This 72-nucleotide transfer RNA is filed under the name Lepisosteus oculatus (spotted gar). It matches the Rfam family "tRNA". From Rfam's summary of the family: Transfer RNA (tRNA) molecules are approximately 80 nucleotides in length. Their secondary structure includes four short double-helical elements and three loops (D, anti-codon, and T loops). The record is from Rfam by way of RNAcentral. Lineage: Eukaryota; Metazoa; Chordata; Actinopteri; Semionotiformes; Lepisosteidae.
GGUUCGAUGGUGUAAUGUUUAGCGCAUUGGACUCUGAAUCCAGAGAUCCGGGUUCAAAUCUUGGUGGAACCU